This 253-nucleotide ribosomal RNA is filed under the name uncultured bacterium. RNAcentral describes it as "partial 16S ribosomal RNA". It matches the Rfam family "Bacterial small subunit ribosomal RNA", at positions 524 to 776 of the family's 1533-position model. The record is from RNAcentral.
GACAGAGGUGCCGAGCGUUAGGCGGAAUCACUGGGCUUAAAGCGUGUGUAGGCGGAUCCGUAAGUACCUUGUGAAAUCCCCGGGCUUAACCUGGGAACUGCAUUUGUGACUGCAUCGCUGGAGUGCGGCAGAGGGGGAUGGAAUUCCGCGUGUAGCAGUGAAAUGCGUAGAUAUGCGGAGGAACACCGAUGGCGAAGGCAAUCCCCUGGGCCUGCACUGACGCUCAUGCACGAAAGCGUGGGGAGCAAACAGG